GGUUGCGAUCAUACCAGCACUAAUGCACCGGAUCCCAUCAGAACUCCGCAGUUAAGCGUGCUUGGGCGAGAGUAGUACUAGGAUGGGUGACCCCCCGGGAAGUCCUCGUGUUGCAACCC
This 119-nucleotide ribosomal RNA is filed under the name Helianthus annuus (common sunflower). The record is from RNAcentral. Lineage: Eukaryota; Viridiplantae; Streptophyta; Magnoliopsida; Asterales; Asteraceae.